UCUCUGGUGGUCCAGUGGUUAGGACUCUGUGCUUUCAUUGCAGCGGCAAGGGUUUGAUCCCUGAUUGGGGAA
This 72-nucleotide transfer RNA is filed under the name Odocoileus virginianus texanus. It matches the Rfam family "tRNA". From Rfam's summary of the family: Transfer RNA (tRNA) molecules are approximately 80 nucleotides in length. The record is from Rfam by way of RNAcentral. RNAcentral also lists the same sequence under 1 other name. Lineage: Eukaryota; Metazoa; Chordata; Mammalia; Artiodactyla; Cervidae.